RNAcentral lists this ribosomal RNA (89 nucleotides) under Escherichia coli. Its description in RNAcentral is "partial 16S ribosomal RNA". The stretch from base 18 to 89 matches the Rfam family "Bacterial small subunit ribosomal RNA", at positions 1 to 72 of the family's 1533-position model. Lineage: Bacteria; Pseudomonadati; Pseudomonadota; Gammaproteobacteria; Enterobacterales; Enterobacteriaceae. The record is from RNAcentral.
UUGAGCAUCAAACUUUUAAAUUGAAGAGUUUGAUCAUGGCUCAGAUUGAACGCUGGCGGCAGGCCUAACACAUGCAAGUCGAACGGUAA